This 286-nucleotide long non-coding RNA is filed under the name Ananas comosus (pineapple). RNAcentral describes it as "long non-coding RNA (ACOM_LNC034189)". The record is from RNAcentral. Lineage: Eukaryota; Viridiplantae; Streptophyta; Magnoliopsida; Poales; Bromeliaceae.
AAUCAGAAAAAGAUUUUCGGUGCGUUUUUUAGCGAAAUCCGCCGACGGAACGCAGUUUAAGUUUGGAAUUCUUCUGACGGUGCCUCGUGAGUAAUUGUGGUGUCGCGGAGCCUUGUUGGCUGGUCACCCGCAUCGUUUUGAGGGUUUGGAAACGACGGGUUGUUAAGUCUUGUGUGUUGGCAAGUUUCGUGAAGUGAGUCGAAGUCUUAAAGAAUCGGUGCGUAUCGUUGAAGAUCGAAGAAUUCAAGAUUUCGAAGAAAUUGGAUAAAUAACUCACGACGUGAAU